UGNNGGCGUGGUUAAGACAUGCAAGUUGAACGGUAACCAAAGGGUAGUAAUAUUCUUUGGUUGCAGUGGCGUAAGGGUGCGUAACACGUGGGUAAUCUGCCGCGAAGAGUAGGAUAACUCGCUGAAAGGCGAGCUAAUACUGCAUGUGAUUGAGAGAGGGAAUCCUUUUUCAAUCAAACGUGGGUCGUAAGACCUGCGGCUUUGUGAUGAGCCCGCGGCCUAUCAGCUAGUUGGUGAGGUAAUGGCUCACCAAGGCUAAGACGGGUAGCUGGUCUGAGAGGACGACCAGCCACACUGGAACUGAGACACGGUCCAGACACCUACGGGUGGCAGCAGUCGAGAAUUUUUCACAAUGGGGGAAACCCUGAUGGAGCGACGCCGCGUGGGGGAUGAAGGGCUUCGGUCCGUAAACCCCUGUCAUUGGCGAACAAGUGUUGCGUCCUAAUACGACGUAACUUGAUAGUAGCCGAAGAGGAAGGGACGGCUAACUCUGUGCCAGCAGCCGCGGUAAUACAGAGGUCCCGAGCGUUGUUCGGAUUUACUGGGCGUAAAGGGUGCGUAGGUGGUUGGGUAAGUUUGAGGUGAAAGCUCCGAGCCUAACUCGGAAAAUGCCUUGAAGACUAUCUGACUAGAGGAUUGGAGGGGAGACUGNAAUUCUCGGUGUAGCAGUGAAAUGCGUAGAUAUUCGAGAGGAACACCAGUNGGCGAAGGCGAGUCUCUGGACNAUUCCUGACACUGANG
Molecule: ribosomal RNA, 741 nt
Filed under: uncultured bacterium
Lineage: Bacteria
Description: bacterial SSU rRNA
Rfam family: Bacterial small subunit ribosomal RNA
Source: RNAcentral